AUACGUAGGGGACGAGCGUUGUCCGGAAUUACUGGGCGUAAAGGGCGCGCAGGCGGUAUAUCAAGUCAGCUGUCAAAGACUGGGGCUCAACCCUGGUAUGCGGUUGAAACUGAUAUGCUGGAGUGCUGUAGAGGCAAGUGGAAUUCGCAGUGUAGCGGUGAAAUGCGUAGAUAUUGGGAAGAACACCGGUGGCGAAGGCGACUUGCUGGGCAGCAACUGACGCUGAGGCGCGAAAGCCAGGGGAGCAAACGGGAUUAGAUACCCCGGUAGUCCUGGCCGUAAACGAUGAAUGCUAGGUGUGUGUGUAGAGAUACAUGCGUGCCGGAGUUAACGCGAUAAGCAUUCCGCCUGGGGAGUACGGUCGCAAGAUUGAAACUCAAAGGAAUCGUCGGGG
Molecule: ribosomal RNA, 394 nt
Filed under: uncultured bacterium
Lineage: Bacteria
Description: partial 16S ribosomal RNA
Rfam family: Bacterial small subunit ribosomal RNA
Source: RNAcentral